GAGAAAUGUCUGUUUAGAUCUUCUGCCCAUUUUUUGAUUGGGUUGUUUUUGUUUUUGUUUGAUAUUGAGCUGUAUGAGCUAUUUGUGUAUUUUAGAGAUUAAUCCUUUGUCAGUUGCCAAUAUUUUUCUUUCUUGAAAUAUUCUGAUUUUUCAACAUUGACUUGAUUUUUAAGAUCCGAGCCAACGAAUCCAAAGCUGUAUGCAAAUCCUGUCUGGCCCCAGGGUUCUCCAGGUUUCUCCCUCCAGUGGAAAGAAAGAGCUGAACCCAGUGUAUUUGGUCCCCAGUAAAUCCACAAGAAGCACCAGCUGUGAUUAUAAUAAUGAUUUGUUUUCAUUGCUGACCUUUGUGAGAGCACUUCCCGAAGGAGGACUAGGCUGAAGUCAGAUCACAGGGCCUGAAAACCAACGGCUAAUGAGGCUGUGGAGGCAAUAAUUUAGUCUUUUCUAAUUGCAAGUUGAGGAGUGCUGAGAAGGUGAGCAAGGACAGAAGCUUGAAGGGGAAUCCGGGAACAGAAACAUUCUUCAUUCACGUUUAUCUUCAGAUUAAAGGAAGAGGUCUUUUAAACAGGCCAGAAUCCCAACUGUCCAGAUUUUAUGUUUACAGUAGAAAUGAAUCUGAUGGAUAAUUCUGUGUUAUCAGAGCUGCUGUUCUUAACAGCACUUAAUCCAGUACUAUCUAGCGCCUAAGAAUUUCACUUUUUAAGUUACAUCAGUCACCACAUACACCGUGCCUGUCACAAUCCCUGCCCUGCUGCAGGCACUUGCACCUGCUGAGUUAGUGCUGUUUGUAGGUAACAGAUUUAUGGGAAAGGAGGUUAUAAGCCAAAGGGCAGGAGUAGGUCACAAUGGUUAAGGAUCAGGCCUGGAUUGCUGUCACAGCUCUAGGACCUUCCUUAGGCAGUUUAUGUGACUUCCUUUUUUUUUUUUUCUUUUCUUUUUGCUUUUUAGGGCCGAACCCGUGGCAUAUGGAGGCUCCCAAGCUAGGGGUUGAAUUGGAGCUACAGCUGCUGGCCUACACCAUAGCCACAGCAACAUGGGAUCCGAGCCAUGUCUGUGACCUAUACCACAGCUCAUGACAACACUGGAAUCUUAACCUACUGAUUGAGGCUAGGGAUCAAACCCACAUCCUCAUGGAUACUAGUCCAAUUCAUUUCUGUGGCGCCACAACAGGAACUCCUGUGUGACUUCGCAAUAUCUCCCUUUCCUCAUAGUUGUUGGGGGCUUAAUGGAGAAGAUGUAAGUAAAGUGUUUUGCACACAGGGCCUGGGAUGUGGUUAGGACUCAGAAAGUAUUAGCUGUUAUGAAUCAUGCAGAGUAAAUCAGGGAAUGGCCUUCAUGUGCAGAAGGCAUAUAAACACAAUAAAUAUUUCUGUUUCAUGUCUGUGAUUUGAACUUUCUAAAUAACAAGGACCUGGUUCAUAUAAGCCUCUUUGUAUAGAGCUGUGUUCAGUUAGAGAACGUAACAAAAUCUUUUUGAUGUUAAUGAAGUUGAGAGGCCGUGUUAAGAUAAAAGGAAUGUUAGUGAAAUGAAGCAGCAAUAAAGUCAACUAAAGCAGCUUGAAUUUCAUAAAGAAUCUAUCCAUGGCUUUUAUGUGGCCUCCUCAGGCCCAUUCUGUCUAUUCUUAAUAAAAUAAAAUCUUAAUUAACAGAAGCUUACUGAGCACUCCCUGAAUGGGAUGGAUCUUUCAGCACUCAUGUUUAAGAACUGGAGGCAAAUCAUAAAGCAAGAAAUUAGGCUUGAAACCAACAUUCAGGACAUAUUCUUGAAUCAAUUCACAUUCAACCCAACCAAUAGGGGUCCCUAUCCUUUCAUCUCCCAGAUGCCUUGUUCCCACAAGAAUCUGAAAACAGAAGAGAGGUGAAUGACACAGGCCACCAUCUUGGAGCUUUACUGGAACCGUAACAAGGAAGCUUUGAGGUCUGCUGGUAACCACAGGAAGAACUAAAAAUCUUGUAGGUGAUUCAUUUUUUUAGAGCUGUGGUCAUUCAGUAUGUGUCAGAUGCUAUGUUAGAUGCUGGGGACUCAGCAGUAAAUCACAGUCCCUACCCUCCUGGAGAUUAUGGCUUAUCAGGAAGAUGAAAACUGAACAGAGAAUGUUAAGUGCAGAGUUCCCAUUGUGGCUCAAUAGAAAUGAACCCAACUAGUAUCCAUGAGGAUGCAGGUUUGAUCCCUGGCCUUGCUCAAUGGGUUAGGGAUCCAGCAUUGGUGUAAGCUACGGUGUAGAUGUGGCUUAGAUCUCGUGUCACUGUGGCUUUGGCCUAGGCCUGCAGCUGUAGCUCUGAUUUGAUCCCUAGCCUGGGAACUUCCAUAUGCCACAGGUGAUAGGGUCCUAAAAAGAAAAAAAAAGUUAGGUGCUUUGAAGGAAAAGACUAUUUUUAUUGUUUGGUUUUGUUCUCUAAUCUUGUAGGAGUCUCCUAACCAACUUUUUUUGGGGAAAUAUAUGUGUGUGGGGGGGAGCACUGGGGUGCAGGUUCCAUCCCCAGCCCCUCAUAGUGGCUUAAGGAUCUGGCAUUGCCACAGCUGUGGCAUUGGUUGCAACUGAUCUGAUCUCUUCUGGCUGGGAACUCCAUAUGCCAUGGGGUGGCCAAAAAGGAAAAACAAAACAAGAACCACUUGCGGUCAGGGAGCCAGACUUCCCAGUGAAUGUAAUUCACUGUGCUGGGAAGCCGGGAUUUGACCCAGGUAUCACUAAGUUUAUUACAAAAUGAAGCACUUAAUAAUGGAGCUCUAGGAGUUCCCUGGUGGCUCAGCAGAUUAAGGAUCCAGCGUUCUCACUGCUGUGGCUCUGAUUACUGUAGUGGCUCAAGUUUGAUCCUUGACCAUAGAGCUUCUGCAUGAUGUGGGCACAGCUGAAAAAUAAUAAUAAUGGAGCUCUAGUCCUUCCAGUGUUCCUUGCUCUCUUAUUGUAAACCAGACAUAUUUGGAAAAUCCGUUAAAUUCUUCUUGCCCCAAGAACAAUGUAGUGGAAAUGGCUUAUUUUACUUUAACCACAAUUUGCAUUUCCCAGAACAUGUAGCUUUUGAAAAGCCAGUCUGUUUGGUUCAAUUUAUUUGCUGGGUACCUGCUUUCUAUUAGCAACUUAGCAAACUUCCUGUCUUUAGCAAUUUGCACUUCUUUACAUUUUUAAAAAUUUUUUAAUUUAUUUUUUCUUUUUUGACCACUCAGCAGCAUAUGGAGUUCCCAGGCCAGGGAUCAGCUCCAAACUGCAGCUGCUGCAAUACAAGAUCCUUAACCUUUGGUGCAGAGCCGUGGAUGGAAUCUGCAUCCCAGCACUCCCAAGAUACUGCUGAUCCCAUUGUGCCACAGCGGGAACUCCCUGCACUUCUUUACAUUUUUAAUAAUUCUUAAGAAAUCAUCUCUCAGGAUCAAGAAAAUAUUAAUAUGUCUUUGGAGUUCCUGAGAUGUAACUUUGAUAGCUGUUCCAUAGAAGGAGUACAAUGCAAUUUUAAUUCCAUCCCACCAGUGUUGAGUUCCUACUAGGCACCAGCAUUGUACUAGAUGCUGGAAUAGGAAGAUUCAUAAAACAGGGUGUGUGUGUUGGGGAUGGAGUGAAAGAGUUUUAUCACAAGCUCAAGUCUUGGGCAGAAGCACAAACGCCAGUGAGUGAGUGCGUGUGUGACAAGAACAAUGCAGAGGGACUGUGGGUAUGAGUCCUUUGAAAGGAAUCUUUGUAGUGUGAUCUAAAGUUUACUUAUUUGCAAUAUGUAUCAUUAUUGUUCUGAUUUCAGAUGAGAAAGUAGAAUAAGCAAUGUUUUCAGUAGGUAAGAUCUCAUCAGUUUUCCUACACUUUGCUACAUUUUGCCUUUGUUCCUCUGUUAAGAGUAUCAGUUGUGUAUCUGGAGUCAAGGUUGAGGAUGGGAGGUGCUAAAGCAGACAGAAUUCUGCAAUACUCCAUAACCACCUAUCAGCCUAAAACAGAAACAGCCUUCCUAUGUCCAAAAGCCAGUUCUGUUCCCAGAGCUAUUGAUGUAUCUACAGUUUCAAGUUUGGCUGAAUCUGAGGAAUGUCCAGCAGCAUUAGUGACAUUAUUAUUUCACACAACAAGCAGAGUACAUUUUCAACAAUGGUGCUGUAAUAGACUAGUCAUGCAAAAAAAAAAAAUUGUAGACACAUCAUACACCUUUCACAAAAAUUAACUCCAAACAGAUCACUGACCUAAAUGUGAAACACAAAACUAUAAAACUCUUAGAAGAUAAAAUAAGAGACAACCUAGAUGACCACAGGUAUGGUGAUAUAUAUAUGUGUAUGUGUGUGUGUGCACACACACAUAUGUAUGUAUUUUGUCUUUUAAGGCUGCACCUGCAGCAUAUAGAAAUUCUGGGGCUAGGGGUUGAACUGGAGCUACAGCUGCUGGCCUGCACCACAGACAGAGCAACACAGGGUUCGAGCUGCAUCUGCGACCUACACCACAGCUCAUGGCAUUGCAGGAUGCUUAACUCACUGAGUGGGGCCUGGGUUAGCACAUGCAUCCUUACGGGUACUAGUCAGAUUCACCACUACUGAGCCAUGGUGGGAACUGCUAGGUGUGGUAAUGACUUUUAGGAUAGAACACCAAAGGCAUGAUCCUUGAAAGAAUGAAUUGAUAAGCUGGACUUCAUUAAAAUUAAAAUUUUCUGCUUUGG
Molecule: long non-coding RNA, 4623 nt
Filed under: Sus scrofa (pig)
Lineage: Eukaryota; Metazoa; Chordata; Mammalia; Artiodactyla; Suidae
Description: lncRNA (ENSSSCG00000056387.1)
Source: RNAcentral